This 230-nucleotide ribosomal RNA is filed under the name uncultured bacterium. RNAcentral describes it as "partial 16S ribosomal RNA". It matches the Rfam family "Bacterial small subunit ribosomal RNA", at positions 111 to 334 of the family's 1533-position model. The record is from RNAcentral.
UAAUACAUAAGUAACCUGCCCUAGACAGGGGGAUAACUAUUGGAAACGAUAGCUGAGACCGCAUAGGUACGGACACUGCAUGGUGACCGUAUUAAAAGUGCCUCAAAGCACUGGUAGAGGAUGGACUUAUGGCGCAUUAGCUGGUUGGCGGGGUAACGGCCCACCAAGGCGACGAUGCGUAGCCGACCUGAGAGGGUGACCGGCCACACUGGGACUGAGACACGGCCCAG